GACGAACGCUGGCGGCGUGCCUAAUACAUGCAAGUCGAACAAACCGCGACUGAGUGCUUGCACUUGGUCAAGGUGAGUGGCGAACGGGUGAGUAACACGUGGGUAACCUACCUCAUAGUGGGGGAUAACAGUCGGAAACGACUGCUAAUACCGCAUAGGACAUAGGAUCACAUGAUCCAGUGAGGAAAGGUGGCGCAAGCUAUCGCUAAGAGAUGGACCCGCGGUGCAUUAGCUAGUUGGUAGGGUAAAGGCCUACUAAGGCGAUGAUGCAUAGCCGACCUGAGAGGGUGAUCGGCCACAUUGGGACUGAGACACGGCCCAAACUCCUACGGGAGGCAGCAGUAGGGAAUCUUCCGCAAUGGACGCAAGUCUGACGGAGCAACGCCGCGUGAGUGAAGAAGGUCUUCGGAUCGUAAAGCUCUGUUGUUAGAGAAGAACAGCGCAUAGAGUAACUGCUAUGCGUGUGACGGUAUCUAACCAGAAAGCCACGGCUAACUACGUG
RNAcentral lists this ribosomal RNA (502 nucleotides) under uncultured bacterium. RNAcentral describes it as "partial 16S ribosomal RNA". It matches the Rfam family "Bacterial small subunit ribosomal RNA", at positions 28 to 507 of the family's 1533-position model. The record is from RNAcentral.